GUAACCCCAGAGUGCAGUCUGGACGAUGGGGCGGGGCGACACUUUGAGGCGGAGCGACACGUGUCGCCCCGCCCAUAUUUGUUUUCCCCGCCUUUGACAUUUUGCUCCGAGCCAGCAGGGGGCAGUUUGCGUUGAAAUAAACAGAACGGUGGCAACUGCAGAAGCAGAGUAAUAACGCUAUUCCACGUUGAUUGCAUGAGGAUGACAUGAUCAGGAGGUGGUGGUGUUCUGUUCUCCUGGACAGCUUCACUCCGCAAAUAGCUCAACCACUGAGGGGAGGAACUUCACCAUUCAAAAGACAAUGUCUUCAGGCAGAGUCCAGCAAAGCAGCUUCCCCUGGAAAUCCUCAGGGAAGUUAUUUUGUCAGCGGGUGACUCUGCAUAUUUGACACUUUCUCUUGUUUGCAGAUGGUUUAGGGAUGUGGUCACUCAAGAAGUUUUCCGGAAAGCGGCACACUUUGCCUGGCUAGACAUUGUGGCCAACUGGAAGAAUUGUCCCCCUGUCUACCGGAACGAGUUCAGACGGAUGUACAGCAUCAGGAAAUGCUUGCAGUGCAGAGCCCUUUUCAAGUUUAACCCACCAGGGUACAGGGAAGAGGCCGGCGUGGUGAUCUUCUGGGCUUUUGUUUACACAGGAUUUUGUUCUAAGGACUGUUUUUUUUUUUUUUGGCGGCAUGAAACACAUUUGUGUGUUAAGUUCAUUAAAGGGAAAUAGAGAAUGAACUGAGAUCAACUGGUUUUGAUGUAUUAAUUGAUGUCAUUUAAAGUUAAACUUUGCAGUGUAUAAUGUUUUAAUAAAAAAGCUAUGGCAAACA
Molecule: long non-coding RNA, 814 nt
Organism: Carassius carassius (crucian carp)
Lineage: Eukaryota; Metazoa; Chordata; Actinopteri; Cypriniformes; Cyprinidae
Exons: 5
Source: RefSeq, a predicted model, not a curated record